Molecule: small RNA, 31 nt
Filed under: Bombyx mori (domestic silkworm)
Lineage: Eukaryota; Metazoa; Arthropoda; Insecta; Lepidoptera; Bombycidae
Description: ovarian small RNA-2980
Source: RNAcentral
UACGGGAGAUUAACGGGAGCAUCGUGCCCGC